UUAUUGGUCAAUCCAGGGUAAACCGAGAACGCACAAGAUGGAAUGGGAUUCACUUGUUUACCUGCUACUACUAUGUAUAUUACAGUCGUGCAUUGGCAUGGUAACCGGGACCUUCCAUCGUGAAGGAGGAGAAGAAUGGACAGAGUACGAGGGUGAAGCUAGAGGAGAUGAGAGAUAUUUCUACAAGUGAUGUCACAAUGACGUCACUGAUAUGUCAACGUUUCCUUGUGCGAUGUUGAUUAGAGCAGUAAUCAUUGUCCAUGCUGCAGACUGAAAUAAACCAG
Molecule: long non-coding RNA, 284 nt
Organism: Mizuhopecten yessoensis (Yesso scallop)
Lineage: Eukaryota; Metazoa; Mollusca; Bivalvia; Pectinida; Pectinidae
Exons: 3
Source: RefSeq, a predicted model, not a curated record